UUCCAUUGUCCAUGUCCGUGUUCACCUGGACCAUAUCCUCUCCCUCCCUUCUCUCCCUCCAAGCUCCAGCCUUAACCGUAAUAUCCACUGCCAAUGUCACCACCCACAACCCCCUUCAAAUCUCCACUGCCCAAAUGCUCACUUUCUCCAACUUUUUCCCCAAAAUUGUCCUCAAACUACGCCCAACUACCUUUCCCUCCAAACCCCAACGACCCGCCCUUUCCUUCAAAACUCUCUGUUCUCACU
This 246-nucleotide unclassified non-coding RNA is filed under the name Hevea brasiliensis (rubber tree). The record is from RNAcentral. Lineage: Eukaryota; Viridiplantae; Streptophyta; Magnoliopsida; Malpighiales; Euphorbiaceae.